AACGAACGCUGGCGGCAGGCUUAACACAUGCAAGUCGAACGGUUGUAGCAAUACAGCAGUGGCAGACGGGUGAGUAACACGUGGGAACCUUCCUAGGGGUACGGAACAACUCAGGGAAACUUGAGCUAAUACCGUAUACGUCCGUGAGGAGAAAGAUUUAUCGCCCUUAGACGGGCCCGCGUCGGAUUAGCUAGUUGGUGGGGUAACGGCCUACCAAGGCGACGAUCCGUAGCUGAUCUUAGAGGAUGAUCAGCCACACUGGGACUGAGACACGGCCCAGACUCCUACGGGAGGCAGCAGUGGGGAAUCUUGGACAAUGGGCGCAAGCCUGAUCCAGCCAUGCCGCGUGAGUGAUGAAGGCCUUCGGGUUGUAAAGCUCUUUCAGUAGGGAAGAUAAUGACGGUACCUACAGAAGAAGCUCCGGCUAACUUCGUGCCAGCCGCCGCAGUAA
Molecule: ribosomal RNA, 451 nt
Filed under: uncultured bacterium
Lineage: Bacteria
Description: partial 16S ribosomal RNA
Rfam family: Bacterial small subunit ribosomal RNA
Source: RNAcentral